Molecule: ribosomal RNA, 255 nt
Filed under: uncultured bacterium
Lineage: Bacteria
Description: partial 16S ribosomal RNA
Rfam family: Bacterial small subunit ribosomal RNA
Source: RNAcentral
UACGUAGGGUGCGAGCGUUGUCCGGAAUUACUGGGCGUAAGGAGCUCGUAGGUGGUUUGUCGCGUUGUUCGUGAAAAUCUCACGGCUUAACUGUGAGCGUGCGGGCGAUACGGGCAGACUUGAGUACUGCAGGGGAGACUGGAAUUCCUGGUGUAGCGGUGGAAUGCGCAGAUAUCAGGAGGAACACCGGUGGCGAAGGCGGGUCUCUGGGCAGUAACUGACGCUGAGGAGCGAAAGCGUGGGGGAGCGAACAGG